RNAcentral lists this ribosomal RNA (767 nucleotides) under uncultured bacterium. Its description in RNAcentral is "bacterial SSU rRNA". It matches the Rfam family "Bacterial small subunit ribosomal RNA", at positions 28 to 806 of the family's 1533-position model. The record is from RNAcentral.
GACGAACGCUGGCGGCGCGCCUAACACAUGCAAGUCGAACGGAGUCAAGAGGGGCUUGCUUUUCUUGACUUAGUGGCGAACGGGUGAGUAACGCGUGAGUAACCUGCCCUGGAGUGGGGGACAACAGUUGGAAACGACUGCUAAUACCGCAUAAGCCCACGAUCCGGCAUCGGAUUGAGGGAAAAGGAUUUAUUCGCUUCAGGAUGGACUCGCGUCCAAUUAGCUAGUUGGUGAGGUAACGGCCCACCAAGGCGACGAUUGGUAGCCGGACUGAGAGGUUGAACGGCCACAUUGGGACUGAGACACGGCCCAGACUCCUACGGGAGGCAGCAGUGGGGGAUAUUGCACAAUGGGGGAAACCCUGAUGCAGCGACGCCGCGUGGAGGAAGAAGGUUUUCGGAUUGUAAACUCCUGUCGUUAGGGACGAUAAUGACGGUACCUAACAAGAAAGCACCGGCUAACUACGUGCCAGCAGCCGCGGUAAAACGUAGGGUGCAAGCGUUGUCCGGAAUUACUGGGUGUAAAGGGAGCGCAGGCGGACCGGCAAGUUGGAAGUGAAAACUAUGGGCUCAACCCAUAAAUUGCUUUCAAAACUGCUGGCCUUGAGUAGUGCAGAGGUAGGUGGAAUUCCCGGUGUAGCGGUGGAAUGCGUAGAUAUCGGGAGGAACACCAGUGGCGAAGGCGACCUACUGGGCACCAACUGACGCUGAGGCUCGAAAGCAUGGGUAGCAAACAAGAUUAGAUACCCUGGUAGUCCAUGCCGUAAA